UAAGGAAUAUUGGUCAAUGGACGCAAGUCUGAACCAGCCAUGCCGCGUGGAGGAUGAAGGUCCUCUGGAUUGUAAACUUCUUUUAUAUGGGACGAAAAAGGGCUUUUCUAAGUCAACUGACGGUACCAUAUGAAUAAGCACCGGCUAACUCCGUGCCAGCAGCCGCGGUAAUACGGAGGGUGCAAGCGUUAUCCGGAUUCACUGGGUUUAAAGGGUGCGUAGGUGGGUUGGUAAGUCAGUGGUGAAAUCCCCGAGCUUAACUCGGGAACUGCCAUUGAUACUAUCAGUCUUGAAUACCGUGGAGGUCAGCGGAAUAUGUCAUGUAGCGGUGAAAUGCUUAGAUAUGACAUAGAGCACCAAUUGCGAAGGCAGCUGGCUACACGAUUAUUGACACUGAGGCACGAAAGCGUGGGGAUCAAACAGGAUUAGAUACCCUGGUAGUCCACGCCCUAAACUAUGGAUACUCGACAUACG
Molecule: ribosomal RNA, 474 nt
Filed under: uncultured Bacteroidota bacterium
Lineage: Bacteria; Pseudomonadati; Bacteroidota
Description: bacterial SSU rRNA
Rfam family: Bacterial small subunit ribosomal RNA
Source: RNAcentral